This 1251-nucleotide ribosomal RNA is filed under the name Triticum aestivum (bread wheat). RNAcentral's name for it is "partial small subunit ribosomal RNA". The record is from RNAcentral. Lineage: Eukaryota; Viridiplantae; Streptophyta; Magnoliopsida; Poales; Poaceae.
AUGCAGCGAGCAGAGGAGGCCGAGGUGGAUGAACCGGCCCAUGUCGAACAUGGCGUGCGCGCCAUCCGGCAGCUUACGGUCACCGGCUUUGAGCAGCUUUCCGUCGUCGGACAGCCGGCGUACCCAAUCCAGCAUGAAGAUUUGGUCGUCGGGGUACGCCAGAUCGACCGCCCGGCGUCCGGUGGCUACCUCCAGGAGCACAAUCCCGAAGCUGAACACGUCGGACUUGGCCGUGGCCGCGCCCCUGCGCUGGAAACUCUCCGGAGGGAGGUACCCGAUGGUGCCGCCGAUCCUGCUCGUGUCGAUCAGCCGGAACUGGUAGUUGGCCGACGAGGAAAACGACGACGUCGACCGCACGGAAGGCGGCGACGGCAGCAGCUCGAGCUUCUUCGUGGGCGGCGCGUCCUCGACGGCGUGCUCGAGCCAGCGGGCGAGGCCGAAGUCCCCCAGGCGGGCGUUGUACUCCGAAUCAAGCAUGACGUUGCUGGUCUUGACGUCCCGGUGGAUGAUCUGCGUGUCGAGCUGCUCGUGCAGGUAGAGCAGCGCGGCGGCGAGGCCGGCGACGAUGCGGCGCCGCCGGUCCCAGCCGAGCGCGGGAGCGCCCGGGGCAGCCGAGGCCGGCGCGAAGAGGAGGCGGUCGAGGCUACGGUUGGGCAUGUAGUCGUACACGAGCAGCAGCUCCUCCUCGUCCCGGACGCACCACCCGCGGAGGCGCACGAGGUUGCGGUGCCGCAGCCGGGCAACGGCGGCCAGCUCCGCCAAGAACGACUUCUCGAAGCGGUCGACGCCGACGCUGGCGACGCACUUGACGGCCACCGUGGUGCCAUCGCUGGGCAGCACGGCGCGGUACACCCGCCCGAACCCCCCGCUGCCGAGCACCUCGUGCUCGCUGAAGCCGCUGGUGCCGAUGUAGAGCUCCGAGUAGCUGAACACCCUGGGCCCCGCCGCGCCUCUGAUCUUCCUCGCCCCGACCUCGUACACGCCGUCCAUGUCCUCGAAGUCCGCCGCCGACCGGGAGUCGCGGCACCCGCAGCGGAGGCAGGACAGCGCGCGGCCGACCUUCUCGCGGACGUACGAGCCCAGCUUCUCCCCGGGGCGCCGUCGGGCGUCGUCGUCGUGGUCGUCGUCAGCGGAGGCCACGAGGACCUCGUCCCCGUCCAUGGGCAGCACGAAGCACAGCCGGCGGAGCGACAUGGACGCGUUGGGCGGAAGAUGUUACGUGCGUGUCAGGGGGUGUUUAGCCGGGCAUAA